AACCAUAGAAACCUGCGGAGUACCUGCGGAAGGAUCAUUACCGAGUUUACAACUCCCAAACCCCUGUGAACAUACCUAUACGUUGCCUCGGCGGAUCAGCCCGCGCCCUGUAAAAAGGGACGGCCCGCCCGAGGACCCUAAACUCUGUUUUUAGUGGAACUUCUGAGUAAAACAAACAAAUAAAUCAAAACUUUCAGCAACGGAUCU
Molecule: unclassified non-coding RNA, 207 nt
Filed under: soil metagenome
Description: partial contains 5.8S ribosomal RNA, internal transcribed spacer 2, and large subunit ribosomal RNA
Source: RNAcentral